This 510-nucleotide ribosomal RNA is filed under the name Cheloderus childreni. RNAcentral describes it as "partial 16S ribosomal RNA". It matches the Rfam family "Bacterial large subunit ribosomal RNA", at positions 1819 to 2600 of the family's 2925-position model. The record is from RNAcentral. Lineage: Eukaryota; Metazoa; Arthropoda; Insecta; Coleoptera; Cerambycidae.
GGCCUUUUGAUUAUAAUUUAAGGUCUGACCUGCCCACUGAAGAUUUAAAUGGCCGCGGUAUUUUGACCGUGCUAAGGUAGCAUAAUCAUUAGUUUUUUAAUUGAAAACUGGAAUGAACGGUUUGAUGAAAAAAUAACUGUCUCAAAUUAAAUUUAUUAGAAUUUUAUUUUUAAGUUAAAAAGCUUAAAUAUUUUUAAAAGACGAGAAGACCCUAUAGAGUUUUAUAAUUAUUUAAUUUUAAAACUUUAGAAUUUUAAUUUUAAUACUAAAAUAAUUAUUUGGUUGGGGUGAUUAAAAAAUUAAUAAAACUUUUUUAUUAUUAAAACAUUGAUUUAUGAAUAUUUGAUCCUUAAUUUACGAUUAUAAGAUAAAAUUACCUUAGGGAUAACAGCGUAAUUUUUUUGGAGAGUUCAAAUCGAUAAAAAAGAUUGCGACCUCGAUGUUGGAUUAAAAUUUAUUUUUGGUGUAGAGGCUAAAAUAUUGGGUCUGUUCGACCUUUAAAAUUUUACA